Molecule: long non-coding RNA, 446 nt
Organism: Dioscorea cayenensis subsp. rotundata (Guinea yam)
Lineage: Eukaryota; Viridiplantae; Streptophyta; Magnoliopsida; Dioscoreales; Dioscoreaceae
Exons: 2
Source: RefSeq, a predicted model, not a curated record
UUGCCAACCUCUCUCUCCUUAGUUAUUUAAACCCCUUCCUUCACUCUUGAUUAGAUCCAUGGAUACACAGUUCACAAGCUUUACUCUUCAUUCUUCAUUGAAGUAGAACCUAGUCAUCAACCUUUUCUUGGAGGAAUCAUAUCUAGCUUUGCAUCUUCUUCAAGUGGAGACUUUAUAAAUGGGUAAAGUUAUGGUUUGUUACUGAUAUAUAAAUAUAUCUAUGUAUUUAUACACUUGGGUUUGUUAUUUAAUUACUGACCUUGAGGGAUCUUCUUGUUUGAGAAAAUAAACGAAUGAGGAAGAAAGGACAUCUUAGCACAUGCAUCAAGAACAAGGUGCAUGUCCAUAUUUGUUUCCUUGGUAAUUGGAGCACUACUGCUGUUAAUUCCCUUUAAUUGUGUCUCUUAAUGAUGUAGCUCCUUUUCUAUGAUUAAGUUCCAGAUCAA